GUGAUAUAUUCAGAUGAGAGUGUAUCGGAAAGCUUGUUGUACCUUGUGGUGCCUGGACGUGUGACGUCUUGUUCGUAUUCGGUGUGUUUGAUUUCUCGAGAAAGUAGAUUUGAGAUCUCGAGAUGACCCAAGAAGAUGAAGGUUAGAGGGAGGAUUAGGGUUAGGGUUAUUUGGGCGAAGAUCUUUCGCCAUGAGUGGAUGAUCUUGAAGCUUUCUUUACAGAUGCCAAAGAGGCCCAAAAAUUGCAUUUGUUCCUGUUCUCUAUCCAUUUCUGCUAAAGAUGAAGCGGAAAUGGAAAGGGGAAAUGAUCCAUUUGGUAUAUAAAAGUGUAAAUGUAUAAGGGGGAAGAUGGGUUUUGACUUGGACUUUUCUAUGAUCAAAUUACCCUUAGAUAUUCGGUAUAAUUACAAGUUGUGCCAUUUCUACAAGUGUAGGACCAUGUCGCGGAAAUGGCAUCAUGACAACCUUUGUAAGUAACAUGGGACACGGUGGAAUACUUUGGAAAGAUUAAUCACAAAUUUCUUUAUAGACUAAACUUGCAUAAAUGGUCCCUAUGGUUAGGUUAAAAUUAUCAUUUUGGUCCAAAAAAGUUUGGACUAUCAUAAGAGGUCCAAAUCAUUUUAAAAAUUCUUCAAAUGACGUAUUUGCCAUUUUCUAUUUAUUUUUUCCUUUUCUUUUCUUUUCUUUUCUUUGGUAUUAUUUAUUUACAGCUCCUCUCUCACACACACAAGAAACCCCCGUCCAAUUACCCUACUUCGUCUGCUGCUUCUUCUUGUUCUUUAUGACUCCAAUUCAACCGGCGAAACCAUAAAGCUCUCAUUUGCAUAGGAUUCGUGCUUCGCCGAUGGAACACGUCGGUAAUCGCCCGCUUAACGCCGUCAUAGGUGUGCUUCCAUUAAACCCUAGCUUUUGUCCAAGAAAUUUCUUAACCAGUCAACGACAACAUUAAUAGCCUCUUUCCCAACGUACCUGCGUUACUUUCAAACGAAGGUUCUCCGUUGAAAUUCCUAUCGCCGAUGAUUCCUUUUCUUUUCUCCGCUAUUUCUUGAACCAUAACAAAACAGGGAGGAGGGAGAGACAUGUGUUUGUGUGACUAGGUCGAUAUUUGAGUCUUUGUGUGUGUUCAUCUUCGCCUGUUUGUUCAUCUUCAUCUGGGUUUCUUCAACAUGAUCUAUAACGAGCUUAGACACAUGUAUGAGUUCUCCAAAUCUUAGAUUUUUUAUUGUGGGUUUCUUAAAUAGAUUUCUAUAAUGUUGUUUUGGAAAUUGGGUUUUGAUUUCUGAUUUUUGGAAUGAUGGGUUUCUUCGAUUCUUAGGUUGAAGAAGGCAAACAAAAAUCGUUUGUUUUUGUUGUAAACCAUCAUUAAUGUCAUAAAUCAUGAUGGAAUUUAAAUUCCUACAACCUGAUUCAAAACUCAUGAAUAAGAAGUCAGGGUAAGUCUCGAUUUCUUGAACAGUUGAACUUGUUGAUAUUGGUGGUGGGUUUUGGGGUGGGUCACCGAAGGGGUCUGUAGGGGAUGAAUGAGUUUAUUUGUGUGUGUAUGAGAGAGAGAUUAACCAUUUGUAAGUAAAUAAUACCAAAGAAAAGAAAAGGAAAGGAAAAAAUAAAUAGAAAAUGGCAAAUCCGUCAUUUGAAGAAUUUUUAAAAUGUUUUAGACCAAACUCGCAACAAAAUAAAAAGUUUAGACCUGUGGUGCUAGUCCAAACUUUUUUGGACCAAAGUGGCAAUUUUAAGCUGCUAACCACAUGGACCAUUUGUGCAGUUUAGUCUUCUUUAUAAAAUCAUGUAAUUACGCAUAUGUAUACAAUAUUUAAUCAUUAUUCAAUAUCAUAAUUUUUAAAGACAUUUUUAUUAAGUGGCAUUUUCAUCUUUACAACUUGUUUCAUGAUGACUUGGCAUCUUAAUGUCUUAGUUAUCUAGAACGGCAUAGAUAUUCUAUGACGUUCAAAAUAAUUAUAUUGAAUUACCAGUUACAACAAAAAAAACAUAAAAAAUACAUUACUUUUAAACAGAUAUUUCCUAAUAAACCUCAAGAAGUGUCUUGAACAAAUAAAAAAUGAUAUACUAAUAUGAAAAGAAAACAAGUUUCUUUCUAUAAACCUAACAAUUCAAAUUUCUAUAAAUCUAACGAUUCAAAAUUGAUUUGGAUAAAAUCUCUGAUUAGUUAUAUAAAUCAACAAAAUUAAUAAAGUUUUCAAAAAUCAACAAAUAUAGAAAUACGUAUUUUUGAUCUCCGAAAAAGAUUUCGAAUGACCGAAAAACACCUCAAGUCAUGAUACAUUGAUGGGUUUUGUUAAUCGACUCGUUUUGCAUAAAUCAUGUAAAUUUAUCCAAUUCUAAGUCUGGAUGAUCAUUUCAUUAGAUUAGACAAUAAUUAUAUCAAUAUUCGUAUUCAUUGCUUCUAAAUUUGUACCUCCUAUAUCAUGUCUCUCGUAUUCUUCAAUUAUUUUGGAAUAAUUUUUCGAUAUGGGAAAGUAUUUAAUUGUUUAAAAUGUUUAACUAUUUCAAAAAAAAAAUGGAGUAAAAAGUUACAAUUUAUGAUGUCAGAUUUUAUGACGAACAUUAUAAAAUAUUGAUUUUAUCUUGUAAAUAGUGUUAUUAUCGUAUAUUUUUACCUAUGUUUUGCUAUAAACUAUAGAAAUAAAACAAAAAAAUAUUAAAUAAUGGCGUUAAUGAUGAAGUCGUCUUUUGGAUUGGUUCCACAAACGCCUUCUUCGCGUUGAUAGGGCCGGGACGUACACGCCAACGACGCAAAGGAAGCUUCACGUUAGACUUCCGAAAUCUAAAGUCUUUCUCCCACUAUACGUUGACUAGUCAAUGCCAAUAUUAACAUUCAUUCCCACGUUCAAAAACCAAAUCUACAUACUUAAAAUAUUAAACCAAUUGUUUCUUUUUCUUUUGAUUAUCAUCUGGAUUUUAGAUUAAGGGAUCUUUUAUAAACCACAAAUAAAAUAAAAUUUGUACAAGGAAAAUAACGAAAAUGUCAAAUAAACUACCGUACUAAAAAAAUUGAAAGAUAUGACACAUAUUUAAUUAUUUAAAUCAAUAUUAUUAAUAUCAAAAUUGAUAGAAUUUGUCAACAAAAAUUCACAAAAUGAUCAUCACCGAUAACAAAACAUGAUAUCAUAUAUGUUCUGUCGGUACCUUAUAGUUGAGUUUGAGUUAUCUCCUUAAAGAUGUUCUUUAGUUAUUAGUAGCUUCUUGUUUCAUGUAUAUAUAAGGCUUUUCCAUUUCAUUUCUCUUCACCUUGUAAUUGAGUUUGAGUUAUCUAGAGCAAUAAAGAGCUUUCCGGUGUGAAUUUCUUUCUUCCUUUCCUUGGUUUUGUGUGGUGGUUUAAGUUAGGCUGACUUAGUUUGAGGACUAAGGGUCGAACAGUGAGCAUGAAGAGUCAAGUUCGUGACAAGUGGUAUCAGAUUGAAUCAAGUAAAGGAAGGUAUUGCGGGUGAGAUGGAGAAGAAUGUUAAUGGCGAUGUUGGUGUUAUGGCGAACGAAGAAAAUCGAGGACGAGAGGAUACUCGUCAAGGUGUACGCCAUGGACGAGAUAAGUCUAAGGAUAUAUGGGGAUCCCUAGAUAAGAGUCAUGGCGAAAUUGAGACUGCUAUGGAGACGUUGUGCGAUCAAGUUGAGAAUGCACAUCGGAAAAUGGGUGCGAUGGCAUCAGAUAACGAAGUAAUGCAAGACAACGUGAAGGGAGUGAUAAAUCUACGCAAAAAAGAUGCACGACUUACAAGAGUUUCUCCUAGGCGAGGUGGCUAAAUUGUGUGAGCAAGUGCAAGGUGAUCUCUCUAUUUUGACUCAACAUGUUUUAUAACAUCAAGUUAUUGAUGUGUUUACAUAUUAUCAAUGCACAACUGACUUGUAAACUACAACUCAAAUAUCUCUGUUUCAAAAUUAUAAGAUAUUAUCGUCUCAGAAUUACUCGUGAUUAAUUCCAUGAAGUAAUUCUUUGAGCGUGAGUUAAUCCAAUACUUAAAUCUCCAUUUCAAUGUACUUAUGAACAUUGUACCAAUGCCAUUGCUAUGUCUAAAACUCCUUAGACAAUCCACAAUUCAGUUCAUGACAAUCUUAAUUCACUACUUACUUCCAAAAGUAUAAUCGACUGUGGAAUUUGAAUAAUCAUAUUAUUCGGAAAGUAAAACAUGAAAAAAUGAAACAUAAAAAUAAACAAUUGAUAAAAUCUAGUAAAAAAACUCAUACAUAAUUCUUUAUUAUUUAAUCACCAAAAGUCAAUUACAUUUACUUUUUUACAAGUUUCAAACUAACUAUCUAACUACUAAAACUAAUAUUAUCUCUCAGACCUAUGCUUUUGGCAUGUUGAAUGUGUUUAGCCCAACUCAUACCCUUCGUAAGUGGAUUUGUAGGAUUCUCUUCAGAUUAUAUUCACUUCACAGUGAGGUGGCCUUCUUCUAAUCUAUGUCUGGUGAAAUGGUACUUUCUGUCAAAAUGUCUUGAUCUUCCAUGAUCUCUUGGUUCCUUUGUCAAGGCAAUCGCCCCUUCAUUAUCACAUAAAAGUUCCAUUGACUCCUUAAUAGUUGGAAGAACUCCAAGAACUCCAAUGAAGUUCUUCAACCAAAUUGCUUCCUUUGAUGCUUCACUCGUCUCUAUGUACUAUGAUUCACAUGUAGAAUCAACCAUUGUCUCUUACUUGGAACUUUUCCAACUAACUGCUCCUCUAUUUAAAGUAAACACCCAUCCGGAUUGAGAACGGAAGUUGUCUUGAUCUGUUUGAAAACUGGUGUCACUAUACCCAGUUAUUCUCAAUGUAUCACUACCACCAAGUACUAGGACCCAUUCCUUAGUCCUUCGCAGAUGCUUGAGAAUAGUCUUAACUACUAUCCAAUGAGCUUUACCUGGAUUUCCCUGAUAACGAUUGACCAUGCUUAAAGCAAAGGACAUGUCAAGGCGAGUACAUGUCAUAGCAUACAUGAUAGAUCCAACGGUGGAAGCGUAUGGAAUCCUACUCAUUUAUGCUAUUUUUGUAUCGGUACUCGGACGCUGAGUCUUACUCAAUUUGGUAUUACUCUGGAUGGGUAGUUCUCCUUUCUUCGAAUUUUCCAUGCUAAAGCAUUUUAGCGCCUUUUCCAAAUAUGUACUUUGACUAAGUCCAAUUAAUCUUUUACUCGUGUCUCUUAGAAUUCUUAUCCCCAGAAUAUAGGCAGCCUCACCUAGGUCCUUCAUAGCGAAACACUUUCCAAGCCAAGACUUAACCUCUUGCAAAGUUGGAAUAUAGUUUCCUAUAAGAAGUAUGUCAUCAACAUACAAUACUAGGAAGGUAAAUAUACUCCCACUAGCUUUGACAUAUACACAAGACUCAAAUUCACUUCUAGAGAAACCAAACUUCUUGACUUUAUCAUCGAAACAAAGAUUCCAUCUACGAGAUGCUUGUUUCAAUCCAUAGAUUGAUUUCUCAAGCUUACACAUUCUAUUAGGAAACUUUGCAUCAAUAAAACCCUUUGGAGGACUCAUGUAAACAUCCUCAGUCAACUUCCCAUUAAGAAAAGUGGUUUUGACAUCCAUCUGCCAAAUUUCAUAAUCAUGAAAGGCAGCUAUGGCCAUCAAUAUCCUAAUAGAUUUUAUCUUAGCCACUGGUGAGAAGAUCUCAUUAUAGUUGAUCCCUAGGGUUUGAGUAAAGCCCUUUGCAACUAGUCUUGCUUUGAAUGUGUGCAUGUUACCAUCCAUGUCGGUCUUCUUCUUGAAGAUCCAUUUGCAACCAACUGUCUUCCGACCAGGUUGUUAGUCAACCAAAUUCCAAACUUGGUUGUCAUACAUGGACUUGAUCUCACUGUCCAUUGCCUCUUUCUAUUUAGUUGCCUCAGGGAAUGCCAUUUCUUCCUUGUAGUUAGCCAGUUCAUCCAAAUUUACCAGUAUACUAUCACUGAUAAACGUAUCACAAUCUGUAGUUAUAUGGAAACCAUAGAACUUGGGUGGCAUGCUAACUCUACUAGAGUAAUGAAGAGGUAAUGAACUAUCAACUGGAAUCUCUUCCUCUGGUUGAAACCUAGCAUCUUUAGAGGUUCCUUCAUCAUUUGACUCUCAAAUCUCUUCAAGGUCAAUGGUACUCCCACUGUCCUCUUUGCAUAUAAGCUCUCUCUCGCGAAAGACUCCUCUUCGUGCUAUAAAGACCAUGUUUUCACUAGGUCUGUAGAACAAAUAUUCAAAGGACUUUUGUGGGUAGCCGAUGAAAAUACAUCUCUCACUUUGCGGUUCAAGCUUGUCGUGAGUCUCUCUGUAACACCCAAAAAUUUCAAGACAAAUUUGAACUUUUAAAACACUUCAAACCAUUAAAAUCAUUACAACUUUGUUUUCAAAAUGUAUAUUAUCAGAGUUUUCCCAGAAACAUAAACAAAUCAUGAGGAACUAUACGAUCAUGCAUUCGCCUUGCCGCGAUCCCCUGAUGUACCUGAAACAAUAAAUUAAAACUGUAAACCCGAAAGUUAGUGAGUUUCCCCCAAAAUACCAAUUUCAUAUAACCAUAAUCAUAUCACAUCCACAAAAAACAAAUCAGCAUGCAUAAUGAGCCUUCAGCCUGACUGGACUGCUCCCGAGCCUUCAGUAUGACUGGACUGCCUUGCAGGGCCUACAGCCUAUCCGGACCACUCACUGGGUAUGUUGGCCUUCAGCACAAAGCAGGACCGCCUCAACCCAACCCCAAUCAAACAAACAUGUGCACAUAAAUAUCAUAUGCUAGCUCCUAUUAUAUAACAGUGAAACCAAUCUAACAGAUCACUAAUCAUAGCAACAUCCCAAUAACCGGGAUACAAACCUAACCGGUCACUAACAUAGCAUCAUCCUAUAAUCAGGACACUGACCUAACCGGGUCGCAACACAUAAGCAUAUCGCCACCCUAACUACCAGGAUGUAAUCAAUAAACAUAUCAUGCCAUAACCGAAUAUAAUCCAUAAAGGGACGACCUUGGUGCCUUAGACCCUAUUGAUAUUGUGAGGAUAACUCACCUCGCAAGUAGUGCUGAAGUACUGCAAAUCUAUGACUACUGUCUCCUCGGAAUCCCACACUAUAAACCAAAAAUAAUAAGUUAACACCCAUCAUGACCUUCUUGACUAAAUGUCCCUACCACGCUCAUAUUUUCCCAAAAUACCCUAGAAGUCUAAUAAUGUAACAUCUCAAGUUCAGGAGUAUAAGUUCAGGGGUCUAAGUGUAAAUAAAAGAGUAGACUCGACGAGUAGGUGUCUUAACUCGUCGAGUCGGAGCGGGUGAUGGGCACAUGUUAAGUGACCCGACUCGUCGAGUCGGUGGCUGGACUCGACGAGUCGGUGCUGGGAUGAGAAAACCUUAAUUGUCCGGGGUUUGGUAUCUUUAAGGGAUCNNNNNNNNNNNNCUAUUUAAGGGAUCAUUAGUCUCCUUUUUUCCCCCACGGCCUCCAGAGAGCUCAGCAAACCCUAUUUUCGCGUGAGAACAUCAUUGUGUGUGUGUGUUUGAAUAUUGGAAGGGGGAAUUGUGGAGAAAUCUUGAAGACCAAGUAGAAAAUAGCAAGGGAUUUGUGGGGAUCUGCAAGUUAGCUGCAUUUGAGGUAUCAAAUCAUGAUCUUGGCUUCUUUUUCUUCUAGAUCUCGUGAGUGGAAUUUGGGGUUUUAUGUGGUUAUGAAGCAUUGAUGGAAUAUGAGUCAGAUCUAAAGUUGAAACUUCAGAUUUGAACCUCCCUUGAGUUCUAGAUCCAUUAAGUCUCUGAAUUUUUCAUACAAGAACCCUCCCUUAUGUCCUAGACUCCAUUUCAUGCUUGGAUUGAAAUUUUGAGCCAUGCAAAUACGUAAAGGUAGCAACUUUACGUUGCUAAUGCACUCUAGGGGUUUAGAUAUACUAAUUGGAAAGAAGGUUUAGCUCAGAAUCGUUUGAUAUUGGAUUAGGCCGAAUGGACUCGGCGAGUUGGAUUAUCCAACUCGGCGAGUCGCGCUAGGGUUUUCAAGUCAUGGAUCGCGACCGAACUCAGCGAGUCUGAGAGAUGACUCGGCGAGUCUUCUGGGUUUUUCCCGAUAUUGGACACGUGGAACUCGACGAGUUGAAUGGAAAGUCGGCGAGUCAACCAGGGUUUCAUGACUCUGUGAGUUUUGGAAGAACUCGAUGGGUUGGUAUAGUGCACUCGGCGAGUCAGGUCAACAUAGACCGUUGACUUUGACUGUUGACUUUGACUUUGACCAAGAGUUGACCAAUUGGUUCAAUGGUAGUGUUCUGUGGUGGAGCUCGUGACGAUGGCCGGAGUAGCUGAUCUUAUCUCUUCAAUCGGCAACUGCAAGGUGAGUUAUCAUCACUAUAUCAACAGGGUCUAAGGCACCAAGGUCGGCCCUUUAUCGGAUUAGUAUUUGGGUAUUUGCUUGAUGUGUUUAUUGAUCUGUUAGAUUUGUAUCUUGGGAAUUAGGAUGGUCUCUGUUAGUGACCAGGGUUAGGUUGGUAUCCUGGUAGGUAGGAUGAUGUUAUGUUAGUGAUCGGUUAGGUCGGUAUCCUGGUUAGGAUGUUAUUAUGCUAUGUGAUCUGCUAGAUCGGUUUGCUUGUUUAUGGACUGUUAUGUGAUGAUCUGUGAUAUGUGUACAUGAUUGUUUAGUACGGGGGUUGGGUUGAGGCAGGUCCUGCUUCAUGCUAUAGGCCAACAUACCCAAGGCAGAACGGAUAGACUGCAGACCCGGGAGGGCACCUAGUCAGGCCAAAGGCCCAACAAGCGGUCCAGAUAGGUUGAAGGCCCUUCGAGGGCAGUCCAAACAUGCCGAGGAUCGGAGAGUGGACCAGACAGACUUUAGUCUCGGUGCAGGCGGUCCAAUCAUGCUGUAUACUCAAAGAGUGGACUAGGUGUACUGAAGGCCCGGUGCGGGCGGACCAGUCACACUGUAACUCGAUAUGCAUGGUUGUUCUGUAUUGAUGAUAUGAUAUGAUUAUGGUUAUAUGAGGUUGGUAUUUUGGGGGUAACUCACUAAGCUUUCGGGCUUACAGUUUCAGUUUAUUGUUUCAGGUUCAGCGGAUGGCCGCGGGAAGGUGAAGGCGUGAUCGUACAGCUCCUCACAUUUUGUUAUGUUUCUGGGAAUACUCUGAUAAAUAAUAUUUUGAAAACAAAGUUGUAAUGUUUUGAUGAACUAGAUAUGUUUUUGGAAGUUUAAAUUAGUUUGAAAUUUUUGGGUGUUACAAGUUGGUAUCAGAGCCUUGGUUGGAGUGAAUUGGAGGAACAUUCGUGUGAAUCCAGUCUCAAAUCAAGGAAAGGUUUUCGAUAUAAAUUUUAAAAUGGUUUUCAAAAUAAGUAAAAGAGGAUGCAAGAUGUACGAUCAGCCAGAGCCAGUAAGUUGACCCCAAAAUACCAUACAGUUACUUGAUUAUGUGAUAUGUUAGAACAACAUGCUAGUGCUAGGCUAGGGAUCUUCAGGAAUUGCAUGAUAGAAUUGCCUGAUUAUAUGAUGCCUGCUAGCCUAGGGUUCCUCUAUAUGAAAUUGACAUCAUUACUAUAGUUGCGUAGUGUAUGCAUCACGGUUGUACAUAAUUAAGAUCUUAUAACCUGAGAAUGUUUGGUUUGGCCUUAUUUCCUAUUCUUGUAUGAUGAAGGGCUUAGGGUAGGAUCAGGUAUUCGAAAGUCUAUGGGGUCCAGUGUUAUGUAUGGCUAGCAUACACUAGUGCUGCAGGGUUGGUGGAAGUUUCAUGGAUGGGUGGGUAGUGAGAGGCCAGGAGGCCAGUUAUGUGAUAUUUAGUAUUCCUCUAAGGUGAGGAUUGAGCGCUCGCUACACAUGUUAUAUUGUUAGGGUGUAGUGGUGAUACUUAAGACAAAUAUGGGUAGGUGUGAAAGGUAGUAUAGGCCUGUACUACUGAAAGCACAGGACCCAUACGCGUAGCAAGGAAGUCACAACCCCUAAGGUUUUUGGUUGGGAGUUGGUUCUCGGAUUGUUUAAGGAGUAUCUGAUGUUUUCGACAUGUUUUCAACAUGGUGGUUACACGGUGAUUCGUGACUGGAUCUGGAUCAGGAUCAAGAGAGGGCGGUCAGGAGGCACCGACAGCGCCCGAGACUAUCGGCCAGAUGAGAUGGAUGCCAAGAUCCGGAAAUCCUGCAUGAUGAGGUUGCUGCUAUGUUUUAGGCUCAGUUGACGGAGAUGUCUGGGUCUAUCAAGACCGCUAUGGUGGAGUAUUUCGUUGAUCGUUAUGCAGCCCUUACUNCCCCCCCAGCCACAACAACUGUAUCAGCGACAAUGUUGGGAUCUGGCAGAGUUUUUCAGUAUCGAGAUUUCGAUAACACGAAGCCCCCGAAAUUUGAUGGUACCCAGGAUCCGAUCGUGGCCAUGAGGUGGCUGCCUGACGUGGAGGGAUGUUUCUGUCACACCUCCAAACCAGAACGACGGAAACGUUCGGGGGCGGAGGACGUCAUGUCAAGUAUCAUAACAAUUAAAUAGUAAAGAAAGUACACACCACCAUAAUAUAAAUAUAUUUGAAAAGUUUACAUGAUUGUAUGUGUUACAUGUUUGCAAAAGAAAUCAAAUACAAUAUGGUGACCCAAAAUAUGUUACUAANAAAGAAAUCAAAUACAAUAUGGUGAUCCAAAAUAUGUUACUAACGCCAGCGCGUUAGUCUUCAAAAGUAGUUGCUACCUGGUCUAGCGGUUUCCUGAGAAUACAAGUUAUUUCAAAGAAAAAGUGUCAACAUUUAAGUUGGUGAGUUCAUAAGUGGUGUUUUGAGAAAAUGUAUGCCAUUCGAAAGUGCUUGUAUGUUUUCCAGAAAAUCCCUUAUUUUCUAUUAGAUGUAUGAAAUGAGUUUGAAAGAUUGUUGUAUGUACUAUAUGUAUUUGAACCAGGAAAAUCCCUUAUUUUCCUAAAAGUGAAAUGCAGUCUCAAAUGACCAAGACCGUAAGCUAUAAGAAACUAUGACAUGCUCAAAAGAAUGAUGUUGUAAAUCGUUAUUGUACAAAAUGAAUGUAUUUGAACCAGGAAAAUCCCUUAUUUUCCUAAAAGUGAAGUGCAGUCUUAUUGUUAAGUAAAACUAGUUGUGGAAGUGUUUUAACCUGAGUUUUGAUCAUGCCGAUAAUACCCUAGAAUAUAGUUAUUACCCCCCAAGCAUGAGUGAGUUAUGUAUUACUACGUGCAUGAGUCAUUGUUUCCGCGUGUUGUGAGUUCCUCAUAACCAUACUAGACGGAGUACCUAUGUUGAUAUUUGUCACCCCUAAUGACGAACUGUAGCUAACAGUCAGGUUGCGGAGUUGUCAGCCCCGUAUAGAUCUAUACACACUUGUCACGCUCUCCCUCCAAGAGACUCUGGUUAUAGGUGGGGACUUUUGUUUGGUACAAACAAAGCCAUAUGACACCACAUGAUUGCUAACAACGAGUUCACUAGUAAUAUGAUUAAAAAUCGUUUGUAUGAAAUGAUUUCCUUUUCUACCGUGUUACAAAGACGUGAUGAUGAGUUGAGUUUUCUUGUAAAAGCAUCAUGUUAUAGUUGAAAUGGUUACCCUUGAUAUGAUGUAGUAUGCAAACGUAUAAAUAAAACAUAUUUCUAUUUAUAAAACAUAUUGUAUCCCAAGAGGGUAAAGUUGUGUUGUGAGGUAUUUUGCAUGAUAAUAACUUCAUAAGAUAGUUAAAACAACAAUAUGAAAAGUAUAGCAAAAGAUCGAUGUUUCACACGAUUUUAGUCAUGUGUUUACUUGUAUUACCCCCCUUAAAAGUGUAUAAAAGCAUUUACAAAACAUUUGAAAACUUAGUUAUAGGGGUAUGAACUCACUUGAUUGAUUAAAGAAAGCGAGAUGAAAAUCGAGUAGAACUUCGACUCGGAAAAGUUGAUUUUCUCGGGAUUCUCAGGAAUCUAUGGAAUCUCGGGAAUCUCGGGAAUGCGAAACCUUCCUUCGGGACUUGAAGGUGAAAACCGGGGCUUUGGGAGGGUCUCGAGGGCUUAAACGCAGAGUUUCGGCACAAGAAAGAAGGGAACUGAGCAAUGAAACUCAGAGCCCUUGAAAUCUAUUUAUAGGGGCAUUUCUGGUGUGCCACAUCAUGGCUAAGGCUGGCCACGUCGUGGGGAGCAAGUCUUAUCCUCUUCCAUUGAUUGGACGCCCUCAGUCACUUGUCGGGUCGCGGCAAAACUGUGCCACGUCGUGGCAAACCUGAUAGCCUCGGAUUUCGGGCCUCGAACUUGUAAAAUCCGUAACUUUCGCAUACGAGCUCCGUUUUCGACGUUCUUUAUAUGCACGCGUAGAUAAAAAUAUGAUCUACAACUCUUGUUUAGACUUCAUCGACAAAUUUUGACUUUAUUUUUAAGUAUUUAUUUUUAACGGAUCGGGACACGAAAAGUCCGUUAAAAUUCCUUAACUUCUUCAUCUGAUGUCCGUUUUCGUCAGACUUUUCGCCGUUGCGCUAUUAUUGUUGAGACCUCCGAUUCUCAUUUAGGCUGUUUCAGUCAAAAGUCUCUCGAGCUCUAUUUUGAGUUUUUAGCUGUCUACUGCUAUACCUGGAUUUUGGAAAAAUCUUAACUUCCUCAUACGAAGUCAGAUUUGGACGUUCUUUUUGUGUACGCUCACGGUUUAAUGUUAUCUACAACUUUCAUUUAGAUACUUAAGGCUAAAAACUAUUGUAUUGAAACUUCGUGUUUUUCGUUUAAUCGGUAUUGCCGGUUUUGUCGGAAAUCUUAGAAUGGUCAUAACUUCUUCGUUAUAACUCGGAUUUUUGUGUUCUUUAUAUGUAUGAAAACCUUGUUACGAUAUCUACCACUUAGUAUAAUCAAUUACGGUUUUAUAAAAGUUUAAAUUUUGACCUGAAUUUUGCUGUUGUUAUAGUUUCUUCACAUGUUCUUGUCCCGUUGACUAGAAGGCCAGGUGUGCUCUGAACCUGCUGAGGUCCGGAGCAAAAGAUUGGUGGAGGUUGAUUACUGGAUCAUAUUCGGAUGAGCAACAUGCUGCGGUUAUUUGGGAUCGAUUUCGGGAUAUGUUUCGUACCCAUUACAUCCCGUGAGAUGAACGGGAGAGGCUAGCGCAGGAGUUCUUGGAUCUACGUCAGGAUUCAAAGUCAGUCACAGAGAUCACUCGCAUGUUUACUGAGAGGGUGAUGUUUUGCCCCGAGUUUGCUUCAGAGAAGGCUUAGAUGACCUGAUACUUGAGUAUGCUCAAGACAAAUAUUAGGCAGUUCGUGUCCACGUAGAGAUGUGAUACCUUGCUGGAGUUGCAGGAGGCCGCCAUGCGGCGUGAGCUUGAGAUUGAGUUAUAGUUGCGAGAACAGAGGUAGGCACCGGUGCAGUCGCAGCCAGCGCCAAAGCGGUCCAAGACUGUGGAUUCUAGGGUUGGAGGACAGAGCGGCCACACUUGUGAGAAGUGUGGGAAGGGUCAUACCAGAGUUUGUAAGUUCGACGAUGCGUGCCACAAGUGAGGGAAGGAGGGUCAAUAUGCAAAGGAUUGUCACCAGUUGGCCUCGGUUCAGGACAUGAGGAUUUUUUAUCAUUGCCAUCAGGUUGGUCACGUGAGGACCAACUGUCCACAGCUGGUUGCAAGACCGGUGCAGGCUACAGCGUCGGCUACAUUUAGGAUUACUAGCGGGGGUCAGGGUGGAGCAGAGCCUUCAAGGGCUCAGGGACGUGGCUUCCAGCUUACAGCAGUGGAGACCAAGACAACACCAGAUGCGGUUGUUGGUAUGUUUCUAUCUUUUAUCUUAUUGAUUAUGAUGAUAUCGUGAAUUCUCUUCCAUCCCUUUAUACAUAUGUCAUAGCAACAUAGGAGAGUUGAGGAAUUUAGGAUCGAGGGGUUAUAGACAGUUAGUAUCCAAGGGUAUUGGUGAUCGGAAGUUAGGGUCUCUGUUCCAAGGAUAGUAGUUGUAAAUCGGAGAUACAAAAGUGUUCAGAUGAGAUUUGGGUUUCUUUUGAAGAUCGGUUGCACCAUAAUGGAAAAGUUGUUUUGCGGAGGUUGUGCACUCCAGGUUUAAUCGAUCCAUGAAUAAGGAUGAUAAUACCCAAUAUGGACAGAUAAGUUGUGUUGAUUUCGCCAUCAGCAGGUGGUAGCUAAUGUCCCAAGUGGGAGAGAAUUGGAAAUUCUCGGAUGAAGUAAUAGUCAUUGAAGGUUCUGUCAGCUUCUGGAGGAUAUAUAGUACUUUUGAUAGGCAUGCGAGUUACUUAGCAUAUAUGGUAGAUGCGCGGGUCAGGUUUGGAUUGCGGUGCUUGAGUAGGUGGAAAAUCGUCAUGAGGCCUAGGCUUAGGUUGAGGUUAUAGUCCGCAGAAUGGAUUCGAAGUUUGGAACCCCAAGUGGGUGAGAACAGUUUGCUUGGGGAGGGUCACCGAGAAGGGGUGACCCAGGGUGAUGCUCAAUAGUUCAGAUCGGUCCGGAUAGACUGAAGGCCGAUAGGGCGUACCAGUCACGCCGAAGGCUCGGAGAACGGUCCAGACAGGCUGAAGGCCCCAAGAGGCGGUCCAGACCUGCUGAAGGUUCGGGGAACAGUCCAAACAGGCUGAAGGCCCAGAAAGGCGGUCCAGACAUGCUGAAGGUUUCGAGAGUGGCCCAGAUAGGCUGAAGGCCUGGGGAGGCGGACCAGUCAUGCUAAAGACUCUGUAGGUAUUUAUACAUCAGGUGUGAGAAUUGGGUAGGUUGUUAUAGUAUGAAAAAAAUGGGUUAUCCCAUGUAGUGGAUGUGAAUAUGAGUAGGGUUGAGGCGGUCCUGCUUUAUGUGGUUGGCCAAGACACCUGGUGUGGGCUGACUAAAAUUCGUAGGCACGGAGGCUCAUGGAGGGUAGUAGGGUUGAGAUGGUGGAUCAAAAAACCCUGAUGAUUUCGACCAAGGACUGAAUUGACUUAGCAUAGUGAUAAUUCCACCUGAUGAGGGGUGAUGUGGAUUAGUUAUGGGCGUCGUAUUGGUUGACCGGUAGAGGUAGGUAUGCGGUUGGUGGGAACCGUUGCGAAAUUGUAUACUAUGGAAGUGGUGGGCGAAAAGGAGCAACGGUGGAUUAUCGUCGACAUUACAUGGACAUUUUGUCCUGAUGGUCGAAUAGGUGGCGUGAUGUGCUUGACCGGGCUGAGGCGGUCCUACUCCAUGCAGUAGGCUGAGACACCCGACGUGAGUCAGAGGUAAUGUUGUUAGGGAAGGGUUUCGGCAAAACAUGAUUUGUAACUCCAUUUCAGGGAGGAACCUCAGGCUCCCAGGGCUGGGUAAAUCAGUCUAUAGUAAUGGGAAAAGAGCCAACGAAAGAGAGUAUGAUUGGCCUGUUUUCAGAAUGCGAGUUUUAUGAGAGAUCGGGUGGCAUAUGUGUAGAUUAUGGAAUCGUUCUCUCCAGAACAAAAAGAUCCUUCAAAAUCCGUCAGAUAUCGUGAUUAGGGAAGGGCCCCAGAUGUCGGACUACUAGGAAUGGUAAGGUAUGAUUUCAAGGACGAAAUCGGAUUUAAGUGGGGGAGAAUUGUAACAUCCCAAGUUCAGGAGUAUAAGUUCAGGGGUCUAAGUGUAAAUAAAAGUGUAGACUCGGUGAGUAGGUGUCUUAAGUCGUCGAGUCGGAGCGGGUGAUGGGCAUGUGUUAAGUGACCUGACUCGCCGAGUCGGGGGUUGGACUCGACGAGUCGGUGCUGGGAAGAGAAAACCCUAAUUGUCUGGGGUUUGGUACCUAUUUAAGGGAUCAUUAGUCUCCUUUUUUCCCCCACGGCCUCCAGAGAGCUCAGCAAACCCUAUUUUCGCGUGAGAACAUCAUUGUGUGUGUGUGUUUGAAUAUUGGAAGGGGGAAUUGUGGAGAAAUCUUGAAGACCAAGUAGAAAAUAGCAAGGGAUUUGUGGGGAUCUGCAAGUUAGCUGCAUUUGAGGUAUCAAAUCAUGAUCUUGGCUUCUUUUUCUUCUAGAUCUCGUGAGUGGAAUUUGGGGUUUUAUGUGGUUAUGAAGCAUUGAUGGAAUAUGAGUCAGAUCUAAAGUUGAAACUUCAGAUUUGAACCUCCCUUGAGUUCUAGAUCCAUUAAGUCUCUGAAUUUUUCAUACAAGAACCCUCCCUUAUGUCCUAGACUCCAUUUCAUGCUUGGAUUGAAGUUUUGAGCCAUGCAAAUACGUAAAGGUAGCAACUUUACGUUGCUAAUGCACUCUAGGGGUUUAGAUAUACUAAUUGGAAAGAAGGUUUAGCUCAGAAUCGUUUGAUAUUGGAUUAGGCCGAAUGGACUCGGCGAGUUGGAUUAUCCAACUCGGCGAGUCGCACUAGGGUUUUCAAGUCAUGGAUCGCGACCGAACUCAGUGAGUCUGAGAGAUGACUCGACGAGUCUUCUGGGUUUUUCCCGAUAUUGGACACGUGGAACUCGAAGAGUUGACUGGAAACUCGGCAAGUCAACCAGGGUUUCAUGACUCUGUGAGUUUUGGAAGAACUCGACGGGUCGGUAUAGUGCACUCGGCGAGUCAAGUCAACAUAGACUGUUGAGUUUGACUUUGACCAAGAGUUGACCAAUUUGACUUCGAAGGGUAUUUUGGUAAUUUUGGCACUUAUAGAAUUGGUUCAAUGGUACUGUUCUGUGGUGGAGCUCGUGACGGUAGCCGGAGUAGCUGAUCUUAUCUCUUCAAUCAGGAAUUGCAAGGUGAGUUAUCCUCACUACAUCAACAAGGUCUAAGGCACCAAGGUCGGCCCUUUAUCAGAUUAGUAUUCGGGUAUUUGCUUGAUGUGUUUAUUGAUCUGUUAGAUUUGCAUCCUGGGAAUUAGGAUGGUCUAUGUUAGAGACCUGGGUUCGGUCGGUGUUGAGGCGGGUCCUGCUUCGUGCUAUAGGCCAUCAUACCCAAGGCAGACCGUAUAGACUGCAGACCCGGGAAGGCACCUAGUUAGGCCGAAGGCCCAACGAGCGGUCUGGAUAGGCUGAAGACCCCGUGAGGGCGGUCCAGAUGUGCUGAGGCUUGGAGAGUGGAACAGACAGAAUGUAGGCCCGGUGCAGGCGAUCAAGUCAUACUGUAGAUUCAGAGAGUGGACCAGGUGGACUGAAGGCCCGGUGCGGGCGGACCUGUCACACUGUAGACUCGAUAUACAUGGCUGUUUUGUAUUGAUAAUAUGAUAUGAUUAUGGUUAUAUGAGGUUAGUAUUUUUGUAACAUCCCAAAAUACGACCCGAAAAUUUUUGUUUAAUAAUUACUAAAAACAUCAUGUCAAUAUCAUAAAAUAAACCCAUACGUCAUUAUCUCAAAAUCAUAGCAAAGUAUUACGAGAAAACUUUAUCAAGAUUGUGUCAAAUCACAUCUAUGAAAAGCUAAAACAACUCCAAGGACAAACUGAAGCUGUGGUGUGUGCAAUGCCAUCAACCCGAGCUCUUCCCUUUACUUGCAGAAGUACCUGAAACCAAAACUGAAACUGUAAGCACAAAGCUUAGUGAGCUCCCCCAAACUACCAUAUACCAUACAAUAACAUAAUAAGCACAUACUAGGCCUUGCCCACUGCAUCGGACCGAGGUCCGGACUAACCGGGGCCUUGCCCCCUGCAUCGGAUCGAUGUCCGGAAACCGACUGGGACUUUGUCCCCUGCAUCGGACUGAAGUCCAGACUAACUGGGGCCUUGCCCCCUACAUCGGACCGAAGUCUGGAAAACUAACUGGGACCUUGUCCCCUGCAUCGGACCGAAGUCCAGACUAACUGCAUCGGACCGAAGUCCUGAACUAACUGAACAAAGCACAACAUAAACAUAUCAACUGACAUGAACACACAUAUACUGCAUACUGCAUCGGGCCGUGGCCCGGAACACAUAACACAUAAAUCCUGUCUGAGCCACGAAGGCAUCAAACGAAGGCAUCAAACAUACUAACUACUACAUCGGACCGAAGUCCGGAAACUACUGCUAGCUAAACGGGCCGGCAUUGUGGCCUUAGACCCGUUCACACUGGAAGGAAACUCACCUCGUGAUGCUGACUGUUGAACUCCUGAAUGAGGAAUCCCUGACUGCUGCUCCGGCUACUUCCCAGCUAUCAUGGGAAAUAAAAUACUAAAUCAGAAUAAGGAUUCCUCUAUGGGUAAAAUGACCAUUUUACCCCUACUAUGGUGUGGGACACAAACAUGGCCCAAAUCCUUAAUUCCUUCUAAGUCCAUCUAUGGCCCCACUAUAAGCCUAUUAAUGGCCCAAUUUGCUAUUUUAGGCCUAGAACCCUGUUAUUGGGCCUUACUCAAGACCAAUACUAAAUCCUUGGUCCUUAGCAACUGAAGUCUGAUGGGCCAUAAAGGCCCAAGGACCCUAAGCCUAAAACCCAGCCCACACCAAGGCCCAACACUCAAAGCCCAAACUGGCAGCGUAUAACUAUGUUAAGCUAACAUCUCAUUAAGUGCUUAAUAAUCCGAUCCAGAGCUACAAAUCCAGAUCCUAAGCUUAUUCCAUGACUUAAGUCAUAAAGUUGCUUUCUUGAUGGCUUACAAGUCUCAUAAAGGCUCAACCUUCCACAAAUAACAUUCUACUUCCAUAAAACAGCCUAGAUCUCAUGCAUGGUUCCAUAUAAGCCACAAAGAUCGAAACUUUACUAUUAUAGGGACUCUUGAGCUUCAAGGAUAGCAAUCCCAUGCUCCAAAAACGAACUUGCAAUAUAAAGGUCCUUCCUUUGGACCUAAAAGGUCCAAACUUCCAAAAACUCCUAGAUCUAAAGUUACAAGAGGAAAGUUGGAAGCUUAUACCUCUUUUGAAUGCCAAAUGAAGGAAUGAUCCCAGAUCUAUGAGCUCAAGGUGCUCAAGUUCUUCUUCUUCCACUUUUCUUCUUCUCCUUCUUCACAAAAAUAAGCUCAAAGAUCAAACACACACAAACAAGGAGCAAAAGGGACGAACUAGGGUUUCUCUGGAGUGAAUGAUAAGUGAGAAGGCCAAAUGGGAGGCUAUAAUGGGGUUUAAAUACGCCUCAACCCCUAAAAUUAGGGUUUGCCACCUGGUCGCGUACGCUGGGCGUACCAUAAGGUACGUUGCGCGUACGCUCAACCUCCUUGCGUUUCAUUUAAUCAGUACGCCCAGCGUACAAGAGGGGUUAUGCCCCGCGUACUGCUUAUGGGCUGCUUACCCUUCGGCCCUAAAGAAGUCUACUCACAACAACAAUUCAAUUAUAGCCCAAUAAAUAAACUGAAGAAAUAAAUAACUUUAUACCUCAGAAACGAUCAUUACAAAUCUCCCCCACUUGAAUUAGACUUCGUCCUCGAAGUCUGCUGCUACUGAAUCUGAAAAUAACUCCGGGUAAUGCUCCUGCAUCUCUUCCUCUGAUUCCCAUGUCCACUCUGAACCCUUUCGGUGCUGCCACUGCACCUUCACUAGCUGAAUUACCUUGUUCCUCAAGGUCUUUGUCUUCUGGUCCAGAAUCGUGACCGGCCUCUCAAUAUAAUUUAGGCUGCUAUCAACCUGAAUGUCCUCUAAGGGAAAAACUGCUGACUCAUCCACCAAACACUUCCUCAACUGGGAAACAUGGAAAGUGUUGUGGAUCUGGCUAAGCUCUACCAGAAGAUCCAACCGAUAAGCAACCCGACCCAACUGGGCCAAAACCCAAAAAGGACCAAUGAACCUGGGGCCCAGCUUUCCCCUCUUCCGAAACCUGAUUACACCCUUCCAGGGUGAUACCUUCAGGAGGACCAUGUCGCCUUCCUGAAACUCCAAGUCUGAUCGCCUCCUGUCGGUGUAACUUUUCUGCCGACUCUGUGCAGUCUGCAGCCUACUGCAUACAUGUUGGAUCAACUUUGUCGUGUUGAGCACCACUUCAGUGCUCCCAAUGACACACUGACCGACCUCCCCCAACAAAUUGGGGUCCUACACUUCCUCCCAUAGAGCAUUUCGAAGGGAGGAUAGUCAAUACUCGCGUGGUAACUGUUGUUAUACGAAAAUUCCGCUAACGGAAGAUACGUAUCCCAACUGCCACCGAAAUCUAGGCCACAUUCCCGGAGCAUGUCCUCAAGAGUCUGAAUCGUCCUCUCGCUCUGUCCGUCCGUCUGAGGGUGGAAAGCGAUGCUGAAAUGGAGACGAGUACCCAUCUCGUCAUGAAACCGCUUCCAAAAUCUGGAAGUAAAACGGACAUCUCGGUCUGACACCACUGAAAUAGGUACCCCAUGUCGUGCCACCACCUCUCGUACAUAUAUGUCGGCUAGCUUCUCAGCCGAUAUGUUCUCCUGGAUCGGUAUAAAAUGAGCACUCUUCGUCAACCGAUCCACUAUAACCCAAAUCGCAUCCACUCCUCGUGCGGUCCUGGGAAGCUUAGUGAUGAAAUCCAUGGUGAUAUCCUCCCAUUUCCACACAGGAAUGUCUAACGGCUGGAUCUUGCCGUGAGGUCUCUAGUGCUCCGCCUUAACCUUCCUGCAGGUCAGGCAUCUUUCCACAUACCAGGCCACAUCCCGCUUCAUGCAGGGCCACCAAUAAUCGGGUCUAAGAUCUCUAUACAUCUUUGUUGCCCUGGAUGGAUGGAGAAUCGAGACUUAUGAGCCUCGUCCAUCAGCACUUUCUGUACUCUGCCCCAGUACGACACCCAGACCCUCCCAUGAAGGGUCAACAAUCCUCGACUAUCAUAGUCAAAGGAAGCUACUCGGCCCAUGAUCCUCUCAUACUUCUACCUCUCCUCCUUGAGGCCCUCGGCCUGCGCCUCUUUAAUUUGCUCCAGCAAUGGAGUAAUCACUGUCCUCCUCAAACAAAUGUCUCUGAUCAGGACUGCUGCUGCCUUGCGGCUCAGGGCGUCGGCCACUACGUUGCCCUUCCCUGGGUGAUAAAGGAUCUCACAGUCGUAAUCCUUCAGCACAUCUAACCAUCGCCUCUGCCUCAUGUUCAGAUUCGGCUGGUCCAUGAGGGACCCCAAGCUCUUGUGAUCCGUGUAAAUGACAACGGACCNCAACGGACCUCGUAGAGGUAAUGUCUCCAAAUCUUGAGGGCAAACACCACUGCCCCCAACUCUAAAUCAUGCAUAGGAUAAUUAGCCUCGUGAGGCUUCAACUGUCUCGAUGCGUAAGCUAUCACACGGCCUCGCUGCAUCAACACUGCUCCCAUACCUGCGAUCGAAGCAUCAUAGUAGACUACUAAAUCCUCUAUUCCCUUUGGCAGGGUAAGAAUCGGUGCCUCGCACAAUUUCCGCCUGAGGGUCUCGAAUGCUGCCUGCUACUCAGGCCCCCAACGAAACACCACUGACUUCUUAGUCAGUCGGGUGAGCGGUACAGCUAUCUUGGAGAAAUCCUGGAUGAAUCUCCUGUAGUACCCCGCUAAACCUAGGAAGCUCCUAAUCUCAGAUGGAGAUUUCGGGACUUCCCACUGCAUCACGGCCUCUAUCUUAGCCGGAUCUACCAAAAUACCCUUCUGGUUGACGAGAUGUCAAAGGAACUGCACCUCGCGCAACCAUAACUUGCACUUGGAGAACUUUGCGAAAAGUCUCUCCCUCCUCAAAAUCUCUAGCACCUCUCUCAGGUGCUCCUCAUGCUGCUCCUGAGGCUUGGAAUACACCAAGAUAUCAUCAUUGAAUACUAUCACAGAUCGAUCCAGGAUCGGCCUGCACACGCAGUUUAUGAGAUCCAUGAACGCGGCUGGAGCGUUGGUGAGCCCAAAUGGAAUCACCACGAACUCAUAAUGACCAUACCGGGUCCUGAAAGCAAUCUUCAUCACAUCCUCGCCUCUGACUCGCAUCUGAUGAUACCCGGAGCGUAAAUCGAUCUUGGAAAACCAAGAUGCUCCCUGCAGCUGAUCAAACAAAUCAUCUAUCCUCGGAAGUGGGUAAUGGUUCUUCACCGUUACCUUAUUCAGCUCCUGGUAAUCUAUACACAUACGGUGCGACCCGUCCUUUUUCUUCACAAACAAAAUCGGUGCACCCCAAGGCGAACUGCUCGGCCUGAUAAAACCCUUACCUAGCAGCUCUUGCAGCUGCGUAGAUAACUCCUGCAUCUCUAGGGGAGCCAACCGAUACGGUGCUUUGGCUAUCGGAGCCGCACCAGGGAUCAGGUCAAUCCUAAACUCGACCUGCCUCUUGGGAGGUAUUCUAGGCAAUUCCUCUGGAAAUACAUCCGGGUAGUCUCGCACUACCGUAACAUCAUUAACUGUCGCCUUGCCCUUCUCCCAUGCAUCUAAAACAUAGGCAACAUAACCGAUGCAACCCUGCUGAAAAUAGCGCCUCGCUCUCGCCCUGAAUCACUAACUCUCCCCCACUGGGAGAGCGAACCCUCACUAACUGCAACUCACAAUCUAUCACCGCCCCCAUUGGGGCUCAGCCAAUCCAUGCCUACUAUAACCUUAUUCCCUUGCAGGGGAAUAGGGACCAAGUCCACCGGAAAGUGCUCAUCGAAUAACUAUAGAGAACAUCCUUUGUGUACCCUUGCAACCCUAACGGUCCUAUUAGCUGCUAUCUCAACCUCAAGUGGACAAUCUAGCUCCCCUGGAGCUCUGCUAAACCUCUUGCUAAGCGCAAGAGAGACGAAUGAUCGAGUAGCCCCCGAAUCAAAAAAUAUUGUAGCUGAUAUGUCGUUCACUGAGAACGACCCUAUACAAAACAUAUAACCAUAAGAAACAAUCAAUAAUAAAUGCAGAGGUACGGAGAAAAAUACAUACCCGUCACCACGUCAGGAGUCGCUCGCGCCUCCUCUGCUAUCAGAUGAAAAGCCCUACUCUUUGCCACUGGCGUCUCAGCUCGGCCCUGACGGCCACCUGUAAUCCUUAAAGUAGCAGGAGAAGGUGCUGACACCUUCCCUGCAACAGCUAAACUCGGACACUGGGACUUUUUAUGUCCCCUCUGAUUGCAAUGGAAGCAAAUCAGCUCUGAUGCCGCAACGGUGGUAGUAGUGGCUGUACAAUCUCUGCUCAUAUGCCCAGUCCGACCGCACUUGUAGCAGCCUGCAGUCCUUGCCUUGCACGCCCCAUCGUGCAAUCUCCCACACUUGCUACACCGAGCAUGGCUCUGCUGACUCCUAGCUCUGUGAUAUGAACACUUGGGCUUUUUGCCCGCACUACCUAUACCUGGAGCUGCCUCCGGCUUCCUCUUUCUCUCCAUCUCAAGGUCAAUCUCACUCUCUCAAGCCCUAGCAAUCAUGUCAUCCAGCGUUUUACAGAUGGAUCGGCUCACAAACUGGCGGAUAUCACUCCGCAGCAUCUCAUGAUAACGAGCCUUCUUCAUUUCCUCAUCAGCCGCGUACUGAGGAACAAGAAGAGCCCUCACCCUGAACUUGGCGGUAAUCUCUGCCACUGUCUCUGUGGUCUGGGUAAGAUCCUGAAACUCUCUGGCUAACUGCUGCACCUCAAUGACCAGUGUGAACUCAGCUCUGAACCUGGUAGUAAAAUCAGUCCAGGUCAUAGCAUCCAAAGCUGCGUCAUCUCCAAUGGCAUGACCAACCUCCUCCUACCAAUUUUGUGCCCUGUCCUUCAGAAGACAGGACGCCAAUCUGACCUUGUCCCCCUCGGGACAUCUGCUAGUGCGGAAAGCAUUGUCCACAUCUGCCGACCAUCUAGAACUCGCUAUGGAAUCCCGCGCCCCGUGAUAAUCCGGAGCUCCGCAUGCUCGGAACUCCCUAAAAGUAAGUGUGCGCGACCCCAUCAUGGCCGCCACCUCAGCACGAAAGGUGCUCAACCUCUCGUCCAUCAACUCUAAGAUACCCUCCUUGAUCGAACCGAAGAUCACAGGAGUCUGCUCAAGUAUGGUGCGAGUAAUCUCUGAAGAGAGAAACUCCCUAGUCUGCUCAUCCAACUGCCCGGCCUCCGGGCCUGGUCCUGAUCCCCCUCCGGCACCUGAACUGCCGACUGCUGGUCUAGGGCGUAAUACCACCAUUCUGAAGCACAUAAUAAAACGUCAGGAACACUGAUAUAUCUCGAGGAAUCACUACUACCACAAGUUUCCUGGUCUCAUCUCAUCUUUCCUCGAUUCGAGUACGGAUCCUCUGCUUCCAGUAGUAUGGGUCCCUACUACCUUCCACAUCUAUCCGUACCUUCCUCAAGAACUGCCUCGACUCCACCAAGUCACUACCACUGCUACUGAUCUCUGCUAUUCUCAUCCUAGGCUUGCCCUAGUGAAAUCUCUGACUCUACCCGAUCCAGUCCUCAGCUGCUGAAAGCCUCCUUGUGAUGCCAAUUAGCCAUCAACUGAAUACCAUCACAUGCGGCGAGGCUCAGAUAAUCCUUCGAGUAAAAGACUCGUCCCUACAACGGUGAGAAUCAAACAAGAGUUGCGCAAUAGGGCCAAAUCUAGCACUAUGAGAUUAUUCAACCCUAUUCACAUGUGACGUGACGUAUUCACCUAAUGGAUAACUCCCAUCACUCAGAGUCCCACAAAGCACAAAGCAAGCAACAUUCAGACACAUAAAAACUACUCAAGCAACUCUAUCCUCAUAACAAGGACCUAUACUAGCAUACAANUCAAUGCUAAGCUCAUACUAUCAGGCAUAACCUAAACAGGCUAUCGUUCUGCUGUAUACUCGAAACUAGCAUGCAAUUUCUCAUAAAGCUGAAACACAUAUAGCAGGGACAUAAUGAUGGGUUUUAGCCAUAAGAACUUUCCUAUGUGCGCAUGCAAACCCUAAUGCUCGGAUCUAGGCUUUCUAAUAAACAUGCUUUGAAUCCAAGACUUCUAAUGACUAAUUAGGUUAAAUAACAACAUUGAAACAGAUCUAGAAUCAUACCUUUGAGUUCCUUGUUGAUCUUGAGGUCUUGGAGCUUCUAGAGUCACAAAUGUCACUCCUCUAAUGGCUUACAAACACCAAUAGCAAGGAAGAUGAUUUAGGAGAGAGGAGAGGGGAGGAAAUCGGCCAGGGUUCUCUUGCUUUAGGAGAGGUGCCGAUUUCCUUAUGCCAUGGGGUCUAUUUAUACUUGUAGACUCCUUAAGGGUUACAACCUAAACCCUAAUUAGAUAAUCUUCUCUUAAGGCUAUCCAAAUCCUUUCCAUAGAUAAGCCUUGGGCGAAUUUAGCUAUCCUUUAGCUUCUAGAAUUCGUCCCUUGUAUAUCUAUAAGGAUUUACAGUCUAAAGCUUAACUAUCAAACAAUUGACAGUUUAUACCCCUUUAUUUAAUUAAUCUCUUUAAGUCACCAAAUUAAUUCUAAUUAAUUCUAUGACUUAUAUUAAUCAAAUAACAAAUAUAUUAUUCAUUAUAUUAUUCUCAUAAUAUAUUAAUAAUAUUUACUCUCUCGUAAUAAAUCAUCCUAUCAAGUUGCUAUGGUGAAGGCAACCCAAAAGGACCAUGCACAACCGGGUCAAAUACUUGCCUAAUAUAGUUGCAGCCUUAGACACUAUUCCAACAGUCUCCCACUUGGAUAAGUCUAGUAACUAUAUGCACAAGUACAAUUCGGUUUGCAAUCGUAGCUCUCAAAGACGCUGUCAAACUCUGAUCUAAUCAAUCUUGUCCUUUAGAUAAGGGAUCGUACAGUCCUCUGUUAGAUAUCAUGCUGACAAUCCUAUGGAAUGGUUAGUCAAGCAUUUAGGUUUCUCGAUCUCUGAUUUAUUUGACAUAGAACUUAAUCGAACACAUCAAUUCAGUUCUGACCGGGCCCGGCACAUAAGUCAAAUCAAAUCAUCGAGCGGCCGAGAUAUCGCUUUUACCUUCUUAGAUAAAAGUUACAGAUAAACUUCGACUUAUAUGCAUUUACUUAUUCAUUAACCAACUAUACACAACAAUACGUUUUAUAACACCAAGUUACUGAUGCGUUUUCGUAUUAUCAAUGUACAAUCAAUUAACAAAUAAUAAACCAUAUAUCUAGGUUUUAAGACUAUAUGAUAUUAUCGUCUUGCGAUCACCUUUUAUAUCGUAUUCCAUAAGGUGAUUCCAGCAAGCGCGGGUUUAUUCCAAUGCUCAAAACUAGUUCAUAAGCACUCAUGAACGUUGCAGCAAUCCUUUGCUAUGUCUAACACCAUUUAGACAUUCUACACACCAAUUCAUGACAAUCUUCAUUCAUAUCUACUUCCAACAUAUGAACGAUUGUGGACAAUUUGAACAAUUCGAUUAUUCCUAAUAAACUCAAUUAUUCUGGAAGUCAAAACAUGCAAAGUGAAACAAUAGCUAAACAAUUAACAUAAGAUAGUAACAUUACUCAUAAAUAAAACUCCUUUAUUUAAUCAUCAAAUGUCAAUUACAUUUAUCUAUUACACGUUUCUAAUACUAUCUAAUCUAUGCUAAUAUCAUCCUUCAGCCCAAUACUCCUAGCAUGCUGCAAGUGCUUAACCCUACUCAGUCCCUUCGUAAGCGGAUCUGCUGGGUUAUCUUCUGAUGAUAUCCUCUUCACUACGAGUUGUCCUUCUUCUACACGAUGUCUAAUGAAGUGAUACUUUCUGUCGAUAUGUCUUGAUCUACCAUGAUCCCUCGGUUCCUUGGUCAAGGCAACCGCGCCUUCGUUAUCACAGAAAAUCUCCAUUGGCUCCUUUAUGGCAGGUACAACUCCAAGAUCACCGAUGAAGUUCUUUAGCCAUAUUGCCUCCUUCGACGCUUCGCUCGCUGCAAUGUACUCUGAUUCGCACGUUGAAUCAGCUACGGUUUCCUGCUUGGAACUCUUCCAUGUCACUGCUCCUCCAUUUAGGGUAAAGACCCAGCCCGACUGCGAACGGUAGUUGUCCCUGUCGGUCUGAAAACUGGCGUCACUAUACCCUCGCACCUUCAAGUCAUCACUCCCUCCGAGGACUAAGAACCAUUCCUUCGUCCUCCGAAGGUACUUAAGGAUAUUCUUCACCGCAAUCCAAUGUGCUUUGCCAGGAUUCCCUUGAUAUCUGCUAACCAUGCUCAAAGCGAAGGCUACAUCAGGGCGAGUACAAGUCAUAGCGUACAUGAUUGAGCCAACUGCGGAAGCGUAUGGUACUCGGCUCAUUUCUGCUAUCUCAGCUUCGGUACUCGGACUUUGAGUCUUACUCAAUUUGGCAUUACUUUGUAUCGGUAGUUCUCCCUUCUUUGAGUUUUCCAUACUAAAACGUUUUAGUACCUUCUCUAAGUAAGUAUUCUGACUAAGUCCAAUUAGUCUCUUACUUCUUUCUCUUACUAUCCUUAUUCCCAAAAUGUAAGAAGCCUCUCCGAGGUCCUUCAUAGCGAAGCACUUCCCGAGCCAGGACUUAACCUCCUGCAGAGUCGGGAUGUCGUUUCCUAUGAGUAAUAUGUCAUCGACAUAUAGAACGAGGAAGCUUACUAUACUCCCACUGGCUUUGACAUAUACACAAGAUUCGUCUUCGCUUCGUACAAAUCCAAACUCUUUGACUUUCUCAUCGAAGCAAAGAUUCCAUCUGCGAGACGCUUGCUUAAGUCCAUAAAUGGACUUCUCAAGCUUACACACUCUAUUCGGAUGCUUCGGAUCCACAAACCCCUCUGGCUGAGCCAUGUAAACAUCCUCAGCCAACUUUCCGUUAAGGAAAGCGGUCUUGACAUCCAUUUGCCAAAUCUCAUAAUCAUGAAAUGCGGCAAUUGCUAGCAUCACUCUAAUAGAUUUAAUCUUCGCAACUGGUGAGAAGGUCUCAUCAUAGUCAACUCCGGGAGUUUGAGUAAAGCCCUUCGCAACCAAUCGCGCUUUAUAUGUGUGUACGUUUCCAUCCACGUCGGUCUUCUUCUUGAAGAUCCAUUUGCACCCAACGGUCUUACGUCCGGGCACAUAAUCAACCAAAUUCCAAACUUGGUUAUCAUACAUGGAUUGGAUCUCGCUAUCCAUUGCCUCUUUCCAUUUUGCAGACUCCGGGCCUGCCAUGGCUUCCUUAUAGCUAUUAGGUUCAUCAAGAUUUAUUAGUGUACCAUCACUAAUAUACGUGUCCCCUUCGGUAGUAAUAUGAAAACCAUAAAACUGGGGUUGAACUCUAACUCUAUCGGAACGUCUAAGAGGUAAGGAUUCGUCAAUCGGUUCAACCGGAGUUUCCUCCUCGGGUUGAGUGCCAGCGGUAGAGGUUCCUUCAUCUAUCGACUCUUGAAUCUCUUCAAGCUCGAUUUGCCUCCCACUGUCUCCUUGGCUUAUGAGUUCUCGCUCUCGGAAAACUCCUCUCCUCGCAACGAAGACAACAUUGUCCUUCGGUCUAUAGAAGAGAUAUCCAAAGGAUGUCUGCGGGUAGCCGAUGAAAAUACAUCGCUCACUUCGAGGUUCAAGCUUGUCGUGAGUAUCUCGUCUUACGAAAGCCUCGCAACCCCAAACCUUGAUAUGUGCCAACGAGGGAGCUUUCCCUGUCCACAUCUCGUGAGGUGUUUUGGCAACCUUCUUAGUAGGGACUCGGUUAAGGAUAUGGGCGGCAGUCUCUAAGGCAUACCCCCAAAAAGAGAUAGGUAGUGAAGCACGACUCAUCAUAGAGCGAACCAUAUCCAAUAAGGUUCGAUUACGCCUUUCUGCCACACCAUUCAACUGCGGUGUCCUAGGAGGCGUCAAUUGCGAAACUAUUCCACACUCCUUGAGAUAAUCGUGGAAUUCAAGACUUAGGUACUCUCCUCCUCGAUCGGAUCGAAGCAUCUUGAUUUUCCUGCCCAAUUGAUUCUCCACUUCAUUCUUGAACUCUUUGAACUUUUCAAAGGUGUCUGACUUUUGCUUGAUUAAGUAGAUAUACCCAUAUCUACUAUAGUCAUCGGUAAAAGUCACAUAGAAGCGGUUCCCAUCCUUCGUGGUUGAUCUAAACGGUCCACAUACAUCGGUAUGUAUUAGGUCCAAUAGACCCUCGCCCCUUUCACAUGUACUCGUGAAGGGUGACUUAGUCAUCUUUCCAAGCAAACAAGACUCGCAUGUGUCAUCUUCCCUAAGGUCGAAUGACUCCAACACUCCAUCCUUUUGGAGUUGGGCUAUGCGUUUCUUGUUGACAUGUCCAAGACGACAAUGCCACAAGGAUGCUUUAUCCAUACUAGUGGAAGAAUCAAUAUUCAAAACAUCAUUUCCUAAGUUAUCAACAAUCAUAACGGUUUCAUAUAUUCCAUUACAUGGUAUAGCUUCAAAGUAAAAGACACCAUUUAGAUAAGCCAAAAUAGAACCAUUCUCAUUAUUAAAAGAAAAUCUAAAUCCUUGUCUAUAUAAACCAUGAAAUGAAAUGAUGUUUCUUGCCAUUUCUGGCGAAUAGCAACAAUUGUUCAAAUCUAAAACUAAACUAUUCCUAAGCACUAAGGAAUACACUCCAAUCUUGGUCACAGGCGACGAUCUUCUGUUCCCCAUGAUUAGAUUGAUCCUUCCUUGCUCCACAUCCCUACUUCUUCUUAGUCCCUGCACAUUAGAACAAAUGUGAUAACCACAACCGGUAUCAAGAACCCAAGAAAUAGCAUGAUUAGAAUCGUUAGAUUUGAUUGUAUAUAUACCUGCGAAAGAUGGCUUGAUCUUUCCUUCUUUGAUUGCUUGCAGGUAAUCCGGGCAGCUUCUCUUCCAAUGUCCUAUCUUGUGGCAGUGGUGGCACUCUGCCUCCUUCGGGUUAGAGCAGGGCUUGGCGGGAUCAACUUUGGUCCCACUAGAAGAGGCACCAUCUCGGGCUUUCACCUUGCGAUAGUUCUUCGAUGAAGCUUUCCUCUUCUUUCCCUUCCCUUGUCCAAUAGCCAAGACAGGAGCAGCGGGCGGAUUGGGAGUAGGUGCAACAGACUUGUCUUUGAAGUUGCUCUCAGCAACCCUCAAGAGACCUUGGAGCUUGCUUAGGGUGACCUCUUCUUUGUUCAUGUGGUAGGUCAUCCUAAAUUGGUUGUACAUCGGAGGCAAAGAGUGAAGCACCAUGUCGAUCGCCAAGUCUUCACCGAAGUCAACAUUUAACUUGCGAAGGCGGUCAACAUACCUUUGCAUCUUUUGCAAGUGCACGGUAAGAGAUUCUCCAUGACCCAUCUUCGCGGAAAUCAUGUUAGUGAAAAUCUCGUACCUCUCUUGUCUCGCGUUUUGGUGGUACCUCUCCAAUAAGUCUUGAUGCAUCUCGUACGGGUACAUGUCCUCGUAGGACUUUUGGAAUUCGGAGUUCAUGGUGGCGAUCAUGAUGCAAUGUACCUUCGUUGCAUCUCGCUCAUGAGUUUCAAAGGCGGUGAUUUCGGCGGGAGUAGCAAUUUCGGGGUUGAUUUUCUCGAGCUUCUCAUCGAGGACAUACUCCUUAUCCUCAUAGCGAGCAAUGGUGCGAAUGUAUCUUAUCCAUUCGCUAAAGUUCGUUCCAUCGAAGGUGACCUUUUGGCAAAGGCUCAUCAACGUGAAAGAACUAGCAGCAGCGUUGUUUGCGUUCGACAUCUACAAUUAGAAAAGGACAAAGAUAGAUUAGAAUAAGAAUCCCUAAUUAUCACCCAAUAAGAAAAUUAGGGCUAGGAUCCAACAAUAACAUUUACAUACUAGAAAAGGGAUGCCGUAAUCUAACAUGCAAAUAAAUUGAAGGUAAGUGAAUGACGAUUCACUAAUUCUCCAUCACAAAACUUAAACUAUUAGUCCUAAGUGUUUUUGAGAAUUCCUAGGUUCGGAUGAGAUUCAUUGAAACUAUUCAAUGGCAUGUUUAAAUCUCGAUAUGCCCCUCUUGUUUGUGACUGGGAUGCCGAGGAUCACAAAGCGGGUGUGAAUUACCAUGCAAAUUCACAUGGUGCCUUCAUUGUAACGAUCACCUAUUCGAUGUGCCGGUAAACCACACACGCUCCAUCGAACUAUGAUAAACAAUGAAUCACCCUUUGCCACCUUCGCUUAGAACCAAUUAGUGUGCCGGUAAACCACACACGCUCCACUAACAUCUUAGCAAGGUGCAAAGUGUAAUUUCAUGGGAUUGCAUCAAUUCACUUUUCCUAAAGUAACUAGGAUUGGGAAAUUUUAAAAAAAUAUGUAGUUACUUUAUAUUUCUUAUUAUACUUUUAAUGAGAGGAUGAGGUUGCCCUAUCCUACCCGUUCGGCUAACGACCCUCCACCAAUCAAGCAAGCGGUGGGUGUGAGUGUACACCCAUUAAGCGCCAUUUUAUAGGCCGCAACCUUAUACCCACCUUAUAGAUCGGCUUCGUGAAUGAGGCCUACUAACGGUAAGACUAGCAUUUAGUUAUACAUAUAUAUAUUAUUCUAGUAAUAUCAUAUUAGUAUAGGGUUGUAUUUUAAAACUUUUAAAAUCUAGGGUUUGAAAUUUAAGUUGUCUAAAUUAAAACUUUUAAUCACAAAAGUAAAUUUCAAAACAUGAGGGUAGGUUUUAAACAUUUAAAACAUGGAGGAUCAAAUAACAAAUAAUUCCAAUUAACAAUUAAUAUCCUAAUUAUCUAUAUUUGAUUUAUUCAAGAUUUCUUUUAAAGAUAAUUACCAAAAUAAUCAAAAUAAUUAAUUAAUUAUCAUAUAAGGAAAUUAAAUAUUUAAUUAGUUGAUAAUUACCUUUAACUAGAUCAAGAUAAUAGUUAUAUUUAUCAGAAAAACGAAUUAAUGUUGAUCUAAUUAGUUUAUGGUAAGUUAAGAUAAGAUAAACACAAAGAAAUCCCGAAUCUGGCCAUUCCUGACGCCUGGACUCGCCGAGUGCACAAAUGGACUCGCCGAGUCAGGCCUACUCGCCGAGUCCACUUUGAGACUCGCCGAGUCCAUGACUCAGAAACCAAAAAUUCGAAUUUUGCAGGUUUGUUUCAGUUAAUCAAGCAACAAUUUACAGAAAACCAAGCUAGGCUCUGAUACCACUGAUGGGUUUUAGCCAUAAGAACUUUCCUAUGUGCGCAUGCAAAACCCUAAUGCUUGGAUCUAGGCUUUCUAAUAAACAUGCUUUGAAUCCAAGACUUCUAAUGACUAAUUAGGUUAAAUAACAACAUUGAAACAGAUCUAGAAUCAUACCUUUGAGUUCCUUGUUGAUCUUAAGGUCUUGGAGCUUCUAGAGUCACAAAUGUCAAUCCUCUAAUGGCUUACAAACACCAAUAGCAAGAAGAAUGAUUUAGGAGAGAGGAGAGGGGAGGAAUUCGGCCAGGGUUCUCUUACUUUAUGAGAUGUGUCGAAUUCCCUAUGCCAUGGGGUCUAUUUAUACUUGUAGACUCCUUAAGGGUUACAACCUAAACCCUAAUUGGAUAAUCUUCUCUUAAGGCUAUCCAAAUCCAUUCCAUAGAUAAGCCUUUGGACGAUUUUGGCUAUCCUAACACUCUUAGAAUUCGUCCAAAGCAUAUCCCAAUGGAUUUACAGUCUAAAGCUUAACUAUCAAACAAUUGACAGUUUAUACCCCUUUAUUUAAUUAAUCUCUUUAAGUCACCAAAUUAAUUCUAAUUAAUUCUAUGACUUAUAUUAAUCAAAUAACAAAUAUAUUAUUCAUUAUAUUAUUCUCAUAAUAUAUUAAUAAUAUUUACUCUCUCUUAAUAAAUCAUCCUAUCAAGUUGCUAUGGUGAAGGCAACCCAAAAGGACCAUGCACAACCGGGUCAAAUGCUUGCCUAAUAUAGUUGCAGCCUUAGACACUAUUCCAACACAUAAGGCAUCCUCCUAGAUCCGUAGUCCUAUUCUAGCAUGUUGUACUACUGAAACUAAAAUAGAUAAUCAUACAAUAAUUUGUAUGGUAAUUUGGGAGUACUUACUUGAGCUCGGCUGAUCGCAUGCACCACACCCUUUUUCCUUUAUAAAAACUCUUCUUUUUUCUAAGUUCUUUUUCAAAAAAAAACAUUUUUCUUUUGAAAAUCUUUACCGUUUCCUUAGUUUGAGUUCAGACACACCCGGAAGUGUAUCUGAAUCCCUCAAACCAAGGCUCUGAUACCAACUUGUAACAUCCCAAAAUAUGACCCGGAAAUUUUUGUUUAAUAAUUACUAAAAACAUCAUGUCAAUAUCAUAAAAUAAACCCAUACGUCAUUAUCUCAAAAUCAUAGCAAAGUAUCACGAGAAAACUGUAUCAAGAUUGUGUCAAAUCACAUCUAUGAAAAGCUAAAACAACUCCCAGGACAAACUGAAGUUGUGGUGUGUGUGAUGCCAUCAACCCGAGCUCUUCCCUUUACUUGCGGAAGUACCUGAAACCAAAACUAAAACUGUAAGCACAAAGCUUAGUGAGCUCCCCCCAAACUACCACAUACCAUACAAUAACAUAAUAAGCACAUAUUGGGCCUUGGCCCCUGCAUCGGACCGAGGUCCGGACUAACCGGGGCCUUGCCCCCUGCAUCGGACCGAAGUCUGGAAACUGACUGCGACCUUGUCCCCUACAUCAGACUGAAGUCCAGACUAACUGGGGCCUUGCCCCCUACAUCGGACCGAAGUCUGGAAAACUAACUGGGACCUUGUCCCCUGCAUCGGACCGAAGUCCGGAACUAACUGAACAAAGCAUAACAUAAACAUAUCAACUAACAUGAACACACAUAUACUGCAUACUGCAUCGGGACGUGGCCCGGAACACAUAACACAUAAAUCCUGUCCGAGCCACGAAGGCAUCAAACAUACUAACUACUGCAUCGGACCGAAGUCCGGAAACUACUGCUAGCUAAACGGGCCGACAUUGUGGCUUUAGACCCGUUCCUACUGGAAGGAAACUCACCUCGUGAUGCUGACUGCUGAACUCCUGAAUGAGGAAUCCCUGACUGCUACUCCGGCUACUUCCCAACUAUCAUGGGAAAUAAAAUACUAAAUCAGAAUAGGGAUUCCUCUAUGGGUAAAAUGACCAUUUUACCCCUACUAUGGUGUGGGACACAAACAUGGCCCAAAUCCUUAAUUCCUUCUAAGUCCAUCUAUGGCCCCACUAUAGGCCUAUUAAUGGCCCAAUUUGCUAUUUUAGGCCUAGAACCCUGUUAUUGGGCCUUACUCAAGACCAAUACUAAAUCCUUGGUCCUUAGCAACUGAAGUCUGAUGGGCCAUAAAGGCCCAAGGACCCUAAGCCUAAAACCCAGCCCACACCAAGGCCCAACACUCAAAGCCCAAACUGGCAGCGUAUAACUAUGUUAAGCUAACAUCUCAUUAAGUGCUUAAUAAUCCGAUCCAGAGCUACAAAUCCAGAUCCUAAGCUUAUUCCAUGACUUAAGUCAUAAAGUUGCUUACUUGAUGGCUUACAAGUCUCAUAAAGGCUCAAACUUCCACAGAUAACAUUCUACUUCCAUAAAACUAACUAGAUCUCAUGCAUGGUUCCAUAUAAGCCACAAAGAUCGAAACUUUACUGCUAUGGGGACUCUUGAGCUUCAAGGAUAGCAAUCCCAUACUCCAAAAACGAAGUUACAAUAUAAAGGUCCUUCCUUUGGACCUAAAAGGUCCAAACUUCCAAAAACUCCUAGAUCUAAACUUACAAGAGGAAAGUUGGAAGCUUUAUACCUCUUUUGAAUGCCAAAUGAAGGAAUGAUCCCAGAUUUAUGAGCUCAAGGUGCUCAAGUUCUUCUUCUUCCACUUCUCUUCUUCUCCUUCUUCACAAAAAUAAGCUCGAAGAUCAAACACACACAAACAAGGAGCAAAGGGGACGAACUAGGGUUUCUCUGAAGUGAAUGAUAAGUGAAGAGGCCAAAUGGGAGGCUAUAAUGGGGUUUAAAUACGCCUCAACCCCUAAAAUUAGGGUUUGCCACCUGGUCGCGUACGCUGGGCGUACCAUAAGGUACGAUGUGCGUACGCUCAGCCUCCCCGCGUUUCAUUUAAUCAGUAAGCCCAACGUACAAGAGGGGUUACGCCCCGCGGACUGCUUAUGGGCUGCUUACCCUUCGGCCCAAAAAGAGGUCUACUCACAACAACAAUUCAAUUAUAGCCCAAUAAAUAAACUGAAGAAUUAAAUAACUUUAUACCUUGGAAACAAUCGUUACAAUUUUGGGGGUAACUCACUAGGCUUUUGGGCUUACAGUUUCAGUUUAUUGUUUUAGGUUCAGCGGAUGGCCACGGGAAGGCGAUGGUGUGAUCGUACAACUCCUCACAUUUUGUUAUGUUUCUGGGAAUACUCUGAUAAAUAGUAUUUUGAAAACAAUGUUGUAAUGUUUUGAUGAACUUGAUAUGUUUUUGGAAGUUUAAAUUGGUUUGAAAUUUUUGGGUGUUACAAAUAGUCAACCCUUGGUCAAAGUCAAAGUCAACUAUCAAGGUCAACAGUCCAUGUUGACCUCAACUCGUCGAGUACCCUCAGCUACUCGUCGAGUUCCUGCAUGACUUGCCAACUCGCCGAGUCACUUGAGUGACUCGUCGAGUUGCUAGUGUUAGUGGCUGUAACUCCUUGGCCAACUCGUCGAGCUUUCCCCUUACAACUCGUCGCGUUUAUACGUGUCUAAAGGUUGGAAAAACCCUAGCUGGCUCGCUGAGUCACUUAACUGACUCGCCGAGCCCAUGACAACCUUCAUCGGACUCGCCGAGUUAACCUUGCGACUCGCCGAGUCCCUUCAGUCCUUCAUCCAUCAGAGGCUUUUUAAGCCAUGCUAAGGCUCCAAAUUGUAUAUCCAUCUUCCCAAGGCAUGUUUAUAACGUAAAGUUGCAAACUUUACGUGCAUGCAAAGCUCUAAAGUCUUAAAAUGAUAACACCAAGCUUGUAAAGAAGUCUCACACUUGAGGGAAGGCUCACACUUAACAAAGUUGAUAACUUUAUGGAUUUAGAGGCCAAAGGUAGUCCAGAUCUGAAGUUGCAACUUCAGAUCGUGGCUCAAACACAAGAAACAUUUUUCUAAAACCCACCCAAAAGAGAUUAAAGAUGAAAUGAGCCAAGGAAACAGCCUAAUACCUUCAAGAGAGUGCCAACUGAAGUAGAUCUUUGCUUCCCACGAGUUCCUUGCUUCAAUUUACUUGUUUUCCCCAAGUGUUCCCUCACCAAGAUCCCUCUUCCAAGCUUUAACACACCAAGAACACACACACACUCGAUUUAGGGUUUAAGAGUGUCAAGGAGCUGUAAAGGGGAGGCUGGGGGAGGCCAAUGAUCCUUUAAAUAGGGUGUCAUACCCUGAAAUUUAGGGUUUCAUCUGUCAGCUCCUACUUGUCGAGUCCCUUCUUGGACUCGGCGAGUAGGUCGCUAAAACACGUGGACCAACCCGCUGCUACUCGGCGAGUAGGGCAACCAACUCGUCGAGUGGACCUUGAAAUCAAGAAAAUUCUAAUAUAAAAUCGAUACCUGAGAAUCGGGGUGUUACAAUUCUCCCCCACUUGAACUAGACUUCGUCCUCAAAGUCUGCCGCGACGAACAACUCCGGAUAGUGCUCCCGCCUCUCUGCCUCUGGCUCCCACGUCCACUCGGACCCCCUUCCGAUGCUCCCACUGUACCUUCACCAAAGGUAUCUCCUUGUUCCGCAGAACUUUCAUCUUCACCAAAGGUAAUUUAUUAGGGUUAGAGUUUCUCUUAGCGUCUGACAAUUACAAGAGGAUUCUGAGUACUUAAAACUCUUGAAUUUGCUUUCCAUAUUGGAUUCGGUCCGGUUACAGUCAACACUAGAUGAUUGGGGUUGGGAGCUAGACCCCUUUGGAGGUAUCACAAUACGGUCUUCCAGAUUUCAGAUUGAUGUUAGUCUUCUUCCUAUAGGUGCUCGUGUUACGUAGUGGAAUAUGUCGAAUCCAAUAAAGAUUAAUAUCUUUAUUUGGAGGGUUAUGUUAGAUCAUAUUCCUAUGCAGGUGAAUUUAGAUAGAAGAGAUAUUGAUCUUUGUUGUGUCGAGUUUGCGGAGAGGACCCUGAAGAUGUUAAUAACUUAUUCUUCAAGUGUUCGUUAGCCAGAGAGGUGUUGAAUCGGGUGGCUGCUUGGGUGGAUGUCUUUAUUCAUGAGUUUGAUUUUACUGUGUAGAUGGCUCAAAGGAUUCAUGGUCGUUCUUCUACUCAUAUAGAAAACAUGUGAUUUUGGAUUCAGUUUUCUUGACAGUCAUUUGGGUUCUUUGUACAGAUUGGAACACGGCUUUUUCGUCAUCCCAAGUAUUAUGAAGCAUUGCAUUUUUUUAUAACUUUAUUGCUUAUUCUUUUAAUUGGUUUGUUGUUAAAAACGCUAAGGCUGGAAAGAAUUGGAAUAUGUUGAUUCAAUCCAAUUUUGUCUUAAUAUGUACUUUGGUUUUGGCUAGUAUAUAUCUAGCUAGCUUCGGUCUUCAAUAUAUUGGUGCCAUUCCAAAAAUAAAUCACACGUAAGUUGAAAUGUUGGAUUUCAUAUCCUAAUGGUAUAUACUGAAACUUAAAAGUACAUUACUAUGAUGCUUGGGAAUGUAAGUUAAAAUGAAUGGAACAUUGAAAAUAAGUAUUAAAGUUGACGAAAAAUGAGAAAUGUCAACAAUGCCUUUUGUAUAAAGAGGCAAAGUAUAAUGCUAUUAAUUAAUGCAUAAUGUUAAAAUGGCUCACCGUCAGAAAUGGCCACACGACAUGGAGCAACUUGACCACUUCACAUGUGUUGAUCGGUUUAACAAAUGAAAUGUUUUUACCUCAUUUUCUGUCAUAGGCUCUUUUUAGAGCCUAAGAGAGGCAGUAUUAAGGUUUCUUAACCAAUUGGAGCCAAAAAAAUCAUGGGUUCAUCCAUUCUUGAAGACACAAAUCUAUCUUCAAAUUAAUUUGUGUAUUAAAACCGUGAAUCAUAUUUUCAAAAGUAAAUGAGGCACAAUACGAUAUACGUCUAGAUCACUACUAAAAAAAUAGCAUUAGUGGAAGACAAAAUCCGUUAUCGAGUACUACAUUGAACUGAACUCAAACUUGAUAUUGUUCUAACUGAACAUCUUUUCCACUUAGAGGCUCGUAAUCACCGAGAUAACUUUCAAGAUGAUUGGACAGGUCUCCUUUAUCGAUGUUUUCAUGAUGAUACGAUUUGCAAACCAGAUAAAGUAUCGUUUUGAUGACGAGCCCGAAGAGAAAGAAUGUUAAAAGCAGUAGGGAACACAAGAAACCGAAUCCAACCCUCUUCCAUGCCUCCAUGUUCAACGAGCUUCCGUGAACAACGAAUAUUUCAAAUAAGUACUUUACAAGUAUGAAGAACAUAUUCAACAUAAAGAAGAUAAGAAUGGCAACUCCUUGGUUUCCCUUGAUCAGAUCGUUGCUCUUCUUCAUAGCUUUAAACCCAUACGAGCUCUCAAGAACAGAGACCACGCUCGCCAGUUGCCAAAUCACAGUCAUGUACACAAACCCAAUCAAGUAAAUGAUCAAGACGACGAACAGGACGACAACCGCAACGUUAAAAGGAAAGAUCGCCAUAGAGAUGAACAUUACCAGUACUGCGAUGAAGUUGUAAACGAAGAAAGCUGCAAACAUGCAUAAAAAUGUGACCAUGAGUCUUUUCCAGACUUUUGGGACGACGCUCAUUACUUUCUUGAAAGUCAACUCUUGGCCGGUGUAGAUGGAGGCGAUGGUGUAGACGACGGCGGCGGUGGAUAGGAGGGAUAAGAUGAGGAGGAUGGUGAAGUAGGCGAUUUGGAAGAGCAAGAAAGUUAUCCAUUCCGAUGAGAGUGUGUCGGAGAGCUUAUUGUAUGUUCUGGUACCAGGACGUGUAAAGUCUUUUUCGAAUUCUGUAUGUUUGAUGUCUUGAAAGAGUGAAUUUGAGAUCUCGAGGUGACCCAAGAAGAUGAAGGUUAGAGGGAGGAUUAAGGUUAGAGUUAUUUGGGUGAAGAUCUUUCGCCAUGAGUGGAUGAUCUUGAAGCUUUCUUUGAAGAUGCCGAAGAGGCCCAAGAAUUGCAUUUGCUCUUGUUCUCUAUCCAUUUC
Molecule: long non-coding RNA, 38229 nt
Filed under: Lactuca sativa (garden lettuce)
Lineage: Eukaryota; Viridiplantae; Streptophyta; Magnoliopsida; Asterales; Asteraceae
Description: long non-coding RNA (LSAT_LNC006807)
Source: RNAcentral